This 427-nucleotide unclassified non-coding RNA is filed under the name Hevea brasiliensis (rubber tree). Lineage: Eukaryota; Viridiplantae; Streptophyta; Magnoliopsida; Malpighiales; Euphorbiaceae. The record is from RNAcentral.
GCUGCUGCUGCUGCUGCUCCUAAAACACACAAAACCCCUCCAAUUAAAAGCCGGUGUCCCACCUUUCAACAACUCUCUAAUCACAUGAAAACACAUCAACCCAUGAACUAAAACACAGGCUGCAAGAUCAAGCAUGUAUCCUAUUGUGGAGUAUUUACAGAAAACAAACGAAGUACCAAGCUAGUAAAAACUGCAUCUGGCCUUAAAUUCACGCAAAACAAUAAAAGAAAUCAUAUAUCCCAAAUACGAAUGGCAAGAACAACACCAAAUUAUAGAAAUUUUAUUUUGAAGCGUUUAGCUAGAGAUGAAAAAAUUGAAAAAGGGAUCAUCAACAAUAAGAGCCCUUGUCCUGAGUUCUUAUAUAAAUAAAUCCGAUCAAACAAUAUAUGGAGAGAGAGAGGUACCUGGAAAGGAAAGGAAAGAUGGU